RNAcentral lists this non-coding RNA (30 nucleotides) under Rattus norvegicus (Norway rat). Lineage: Eukaryota; Metazoa; Chordata; Mammalia; Rodentia; Muridae. The record is from RNAcentral.
UAUACAUAUCCCAGCUGAAAUGAACUAGGA